Elaeis guineensis (African oil palm) is the source of this 1020-nucleotide RNA transcript. RefSeq lists it as uncharacterized. The record is from RefSeq and is a predicted model, not a curated record. NCBI's taxonomy places the organism in Eukaryota, Viridiplantae, Streptophyta, Magnoliopsida, Arecales, Arecaceae.
UGGCCAUAGAAAUUUAACUCCAUCCGUCAACACGGCAGGGUUUUCGCGUUAAAAUAUUCGAGAUUCGACAUUGGAGCCAGAGAUCGUUUGUAGAAGCCCUCGUUUUCGUUCAGAAACCCUAGAAUACCGUAGUCUCCGCGAAUUAUAACUAUUGAGAGGUCUGCGAUCGGAGUUGAAGCAAGAGGAAGCGAGAAAGUUCCGGUCCUCCAUCCCACUCGAGCUCCCCCGCAUCAUGAAAAAGAGUAAAUCUGCGAAGGUCCAAUCUCAGCAGCAGAACGGUCACGUUCUUCCCUUCAAGUUCGCCAAGUUGCUAGAUCCGGAGGCUUCUUGGGACAAGGAUCAGUUGGGUGAUGUUCUACAUUGGAUCCGGCAAGUGUUGGGCCUUCUGUGCGGAUUGCUGUGGGGUGCGGUCCCUCUCAUCGGUGCAAAAUGGAUUCUUGUAUUCUUGGUUCUAUCUUCUGGUAUCAUCUAUGGAUACUAUGCACACAUUCUGAAGAUUGAUGAGGAAGAAUAUGGGGGCCAUGCAACUUUGCUUCAAGAAGGGCUCUUUGCAUCAUUUACCCUUUUUCUGCUUGCCUGGAUUUUGGUAUACAGCUUGGCACAUUUCUAAUGGGCUACUCUCUCGUGAUCAGAGAAUGAUUUCCCAGAUGGAUGUCCUUGUCUUUUUCCAUUUUGAGCAACACAUAUUUGGAGACUGGAGACAUCAAGUGAGUCCACAAUCCAAGUGUAGAAACAAAUAGUCUUAUUUACCUUGUCCUUGUACUUGGCUUUGCAUACUUACUGUUGUUCUGUGUUCCAUAAAAUGGCUGCCAGUGGCCAUAUUUGAAAGUAGUGGAAUAUGAUUUGAGAGGGGCUCGGCCUGUAAUUAUUCAGUUGAUCAGAAUAUUUGCAAACCACAAAGAUAAGUGCUUGGGAUUGACUAAUAAGUUCGGUAAAGGAGAAACGGGUGAGUAGUCUCUGGUUCCCCGAUGUGAAGGAAGAGCAGGAACUAACUUAUUUUUAUAUAUUUUUUGUUUUUAA